GGGCGUGGCAUAAGAGAGUAUAAAAGGGCCAUGUGCAGCUGAGCUGCUCCUGUUUAAAAUGGCGGCGUUUGGAAGGAGCAUAGGUAUUCUUUCUGCUUUCCUUUCAAAAUGGAGCAUCUGUAUCAUGCCUCCAGCCAUCCUUUCACCUUGUUGUACCAGGUGACUCCAGCGGUAAGGUAUAUCGCCCUGUUCCCAGGAUGAUUGGCACACCAAGGUGCAUAUGACUACCAUAUGGAGCACGCAAGGUGAGUAGGGCU
Sceloporus undulatus (fence lizard) is the source of this 257-nucleotide long non-coding RNA. RefSeq lists it as uncharacterized. NCBI's taxonomy places the organism in Eukaryota, Metazoa, Chordata, Lepidosauria, Squamata, Phrynosomatidae. The record is from RefSeq and is a predicted model, not a curated record. The transcript has 3 exons.